This 292-nucleotide ribosomal RNA is filed under the name uncultured bacterium. Its description in RNAcentral is "partial 16S ribosomal RNA". It matches the Rfam family "Bacterial small subunit ribosomal RNA", at positions 505 to 796 of the family's 1533-position model. The record is from RNAcentral.
GUGUCAGCAGCCGCGGUAAAACGUAGGACGCAAGCGUUAUCCGGAGUUACUGGGCGUAAAGCGCGUGUAGGCGGCUUGCCAAGUCAGGCGUGAAAGCGCCCGGCUCAACCGGGCGAGGUCGUUUGAGACUGGCAGGCUGGAGGACGGCACAGGAGCAGGGAAUUCCGGGUGUAGUGGUGAAAUGCGCAGAGAUCCGGAGGAACACCAGUGGCGAAGGCGCUGCUCUGGGCCGACACUGACGCUGAGACGCGAAAGCAUGGGGAGCGAACGGGAUUAGAAACCCCCGUAGUCC